RNAcentral lists this ribosomal RNA (253 nucleotides) under uncultured bacterium. RNAcentral describes it as "partial 16S ribosomal RNA". It matches the Rfam family "Bacterial small subunit ribosomal RNA", at positions 524 to 776 of the family's 1533-position model. The record is from RNAcentral.
GACAGAGGGUGCAAACGUUGUUCGGAAUUACUGGGCGUAAAGCGUGUGUAGGCUGCUACAUAAGUCGGAUGUGAAAGCCCCGGGCUCAACCCGGGAAGUGCACUCGAUACUGCGUAGCUUGAGUCUCGGAGAGGUUGGUGGAAUUCUCGGUGUAGAGGUGAAAUUCGUAGAUAUCGAGAGGAACACCGGUGGCGAAGGCGGCCAACUGGACGAAGACUGACGCUGAGAUACGAAAGCGUGGGGAGCAAACAGG